This is a long non-coding RNA of Aegilops tauschii subsp. strangulata, 539 nucleotides long. RefSeq lists it as uncharacterized. The record is from RefSeq and is a predicted model, not a curated record. NCBI's taxonomy places the organism in Eukaryota, Viridiplantae, Streptophyta, Magnoliopsida, Poales, Poaceae.
GUUCAGAUAGAGCAUGCGCCCGUGCCCCGAACCCGCUGGCCGCAUCCCUCUCGGGAUAAGCAUCAUCCCGACAACUCCGCAGCCCCUCCUAGCGCCUAUAAAUGCCCCCGACGCCCCUCGUUCGAUUCUGCCACUUUGCUCACCCCCUCGCUCAACCGAGCCACCGCCUUCGUCAGUUGGAUCUCACUGGCACCGGAGGACCUCACCGUUGUUUUUGUCGCCAGUUCGCCGGAGACGCCGCCCCGACGACCCGCGUCCUCGCCGGAGCACAGAGCCGCCGACCUUCGCUCCGUCCGUCUCGGCCACCCCGACGCACGCCGCCUCCACCACCGGACCGCCCACUCCACGUCGGUCUCGUUCGCCUUCUCCCCCGCCGUCGGAGGCCACCGCAGCCGUCGCCCCGUCCGCUGCCUAACGCGAGCGCCGCUGCCUCCUGUACGUCGUCGUCGCUACCAUUUUCAUCGGAGAGUGACGAAUAGUUCUAAUAAGUAAAAUUCUGAGAGCGGUAUAAUCUUCAUCAACUAUUACCAGGCAAGUUC